GAGAGAGAGAGAGAGAGAGAGAGAGAGAGAGGCGGCGGUGAAGCCAGCAGCAGCGGCGGAAGAGAACGACGCCGGUGGGCGCCUUUCGUCGGAUUCGCGUGCAAAUCAAGGUUGCGCGCGGCUCCGUCGACUGGUGCUCGUCGGUGUCCGCGAGGCGGGCGCGGACGCGGACGCGCACGAGCGUCCAAAACCGGCACGGCGACGGGCCUCCAACGCCGACAAGCGAGCGAGGAGGCGCAGCGAACCCGAGCACACCCGCGCAGCUGAGGGGCUUGCUCCGGCGCCGUCGUGGCUAGCGACGACGACGACGACGAGACCCUCAACCUAAGAACUUGCCAAAUAUAUUUGUUUUGCUACGAAAACUGAAAGUGAUUGAGCUGGAAUUCUUCUCUUGACUCCAACAACCUGACUGCUACUUCUAACUUCUAUCUACCAAGCACUUUGGACACCAGACCGAGAACUUG
This 464-nucleotide ribosomal RNA is filed under the name Triticum aestivum (bread wheat). RNAcentral describes it as "partial small subunit ribosomal RNA". Lineage: Eukaryota; Viridiplantae; Streptophyta; Magnoliopsida; Poales; Poaceae. The record is from RNAcentral.